AUGAACGCUGGCGGCGUGCCUAAUACAUGCAAGUCGAGCGAACCACUUCGGUGGUGAGCGGCGAACGGGUGAGUAACACGUAGGUGAUCUGCCCAUCAGACGGGGACAACGAUUGGAAACGAUCGCUAAUACCGGAUAGGACGAAAGUUUAAAGGUGCUCCUGGCACCGCUGAUGGAUGAGCCUGCGGCGCAUUAGCUAGUUGGUAGGGUAACGGCCUACCAAGGCGACGAUGCGUAGCCGACCUGAGAGGGUGAACGGCCACACUGGGACUGAGACACGGCCCAGACUCCUACGGGAGGCAGCAGUAGGGAAUCUUCGGCAAUGGGCGAAAGCCUGACCGAGCAACGCCGCGUGAAUGAUGAAGGCCUUCGGGUUGUAAAAUUCUGUUAUAAGGGAAGAACGACUUUAGUAGGAAAUGGCUAGAGUGUGACGGUACCUUAUGAGAAAGCCACGGCUAACUACGUGCCAGCAGCCGCGGUAAUACGUAGGUGGCGAGCGUUAUCCGGAAUUAUUGGGCGUAAAGAGCGCGCAGGUGGUUGAUUAAGUCUGAUGUGAAAGCCCACGGCUUAACCGUGGAGGGUCAUUGGAAACUGGUCAACUUGAGUGCAGAAAAGGGAAGUGGAAUUCCAUGUGUAGCGGUGAAAUGCGUAGAGAUAUGGAGAAACCCAGUGGCGAAGGCGCUUCCUGGUCUGUAACUGACACUGAGGCGCGAAAGCGGGGAGCAAACA
This 729-nucleotide ribosomal RNA is filed under the name uncultured bacterium. RNAcentral's name for it is "bacterial SSU rRNA". It matches the Rfam family "Bacterial small subunit ribosomal RNA", at positions 29 to 774 of the family's 1533-position model. The record is from RNAcentral.